UCCGACGGGUGCAAGCGUGAAUCGGAAUUACUGGGCGUAAAGCGCGCGUAGGUGGUUUGUUAAGUUGGAUGUGAAAGCCCCGGGCUCAACCUGGGAACUGCAUCCAAAACUGGCAAGCUAGAGUAUGGCAGAGGGUGGUGGAAUUUCCGGUGUAGCGGUGAAAGGCGUAGAUAUAGGAAGGAACACCAGUGGCGAAGGCGACCACCUGGGCUAAUACUGACACUGAGGUGCGAAAGCGUGGGGCGCAAACAGGAUUAGAUACCCCGGUA
Molecule: ribosomal RNA, 269 nt
Filed under: uncultured bacterium
Lineage: Bacteria
Description: partial 16S ribosomal RNA
Rfam family: Bacterial small subunit ribosomal RNA
Source: RNAcentral